CUACCUUGGAGUGGGGAAUAACGGCUGGAAACAGCCGCUAAUACCGCAUGAUGCGUCUGGGCCGCAUGGCUCUGGGCGCCAAAGAUUCAUCGCUCUGAGAUGAGCUCGCGUCUGAUUAGCUAGUUGGCGGGGCAACGGCCCACCAAGGCGACGAUCAGUAGCCGGACUGAGAGGUUGGCCGGCCACAUUGGGACUGAGACACGGCCCAGACUCCUACGGGAGGCAGCAG
Molecule: ribosomal RNA, 229 nt
Filed under: uncultured bacterium
Lineage: Bacteria
Description: partial 16S ribosomal RNA
Rfam family: Bacterial small subunit ribosomal RNA
Source: RNAcentral